GGGAUAGGUGUCCCUCAUCAUUAUAUCUCCUCCUGAUCCAAUAAAGAUUAGCCUAUGCAUGAGUUUUUUCUAGGUAUUUCAGUCAGGUUUCUAGGUUGUCAGUCCUUAUAAUCACUUCCAAAUCUUUUUAAAGUCCUGUUUUUUUUGUUUUUUUUUUUUUCUUUCUGCUGCUGUGAGUUCUACCUCACAGGCUUCUGGUUCCACCACUCUUUUCUGAACUUUCUGUCCCUCUCCCUAGUACCUCUGAUUGUAUUAGAGACAGGGCUGCACAUUUGGUUACGGCAUUAUAACAUCUGCAGCCUUUAUCGCCCCAUUCUUAUCUCUGUGGCAUAUCCUGUCUUUUAUUGACUGCAGUCAGCAGAGCCUUAAUGGAGCUACAGCGAGAACCUGGCCUCUUUGCUGGGCUGAUAAGGUUAAUUGAGAAUGCUUUAAUGUCUGGGUAGUUCAUGCUUUUCAACAGCCAUGAUUUUACAUUGCUUAACACCGUAAUUCACUUGCCAUCAUUCAUCUGAGUAACUGAGGUCAGAAUUCCUCCUCAGCCCUUUGGUUCCCCCAAGUCACUCACCUCAUCUUUUUCCCAGUGAUCACUCUUUCCAAGUAUAUGUAUAUAUAAUAAACAUUGCAUUAACAAUGUAUUAACAAAUACUAAACAAACUGAUAUAUCAUAACCUAAUCUUAACCACUGCUUUCGUGAUGGCUUCUCCACCUGCUCCUCUCCCUGAAAACAGGUCAUGGGAGGCUGGCUACAAGAGACUGCAAAGCAGCAGCUUUGACGAGGACAACACAAAGCCUCCAGCCCUUAGAAGCCACCUCUAAGAAAUGCAGCCAGUGAUGAGCAACACAAGCUACAAAGUUCACUUCAAUGAAUACAGAAUAUUUUUACAAAACUGGGCCCAUGUGAACCGCAUGAAGUUCAACAAGUCCAAGAGCAAGGUGCUGCACUUGGGAUGGGGCAAGUCCAGAUGUGAGCACAGACUGGGAGAAGAACUCACUGAGAGCAGCCCUGCAGAGAAGGACUUGGGGGUUCUGGUGGACAAAAAGCUCGACAUGAGCCAGCAGUGUGUGCCUGCAGCCCAGAAGGCCAACUGCAUCCAGGGCUGAAUCAACAGAGGGUGGCCAGCAGGGAGGUGAUUGUGACCCUCUGCUCUGCCCUUGUGAGGCCCUACCUGGA
RNAcentral lists this long non-coding RNA (1171 nucleotides) under Anas platyrhynchos platyrhynchos (common mallard). Its description in RNAcentral is "lncRNA (ENSAPLG00000017440.1)". Lineage: Eukaryota; Metazoa; Chordata; Aves; Anseriformes; Anatidae. The record is from RNAcentral.